UCGAAUGAACAUAGAGUCGGUUGUAGCUGGCCUUGCAAAAGGCAUGUGCACGCCUUCUCUUUCAUCCACGCACCCCUGUGCACUUGUGAGACGGAGGCUUAUUUCUUCCCUUUCAUUUGGGGAGAUCAGUUUCCGUCUGCUACUACACAAAUUCAUAUAUUUAAUUCUGAAUGUAAUUGAUGUAACGCAUCUAUAUAC
This 198-nucleotide unclassified non-coding RNA is filed under the name soil metagenome. RNAcentral describes it as "partial internal transcribed spacer 1". The record is from RNAcentral.